GCCGGGAUGGCGGAACUGGUAGACGCGCCGGAUUCAAAAUCCGGUUCUGGAAACAGAGUGGGGGUUCGAUUCCCCCUCCCGGCACCA
Molecule: transfer RNA, 87 nt
Filed under: Gammaproteobacteria bacterium
Lineage: Bacteria; Pseudomonadati; Pseudomonadota; Gammaproteobacteria
Also listed under: 3 other names
Description: tRNA-Leu
Rfam family: tRNA
About the family: Transfer RNA (tRNA) molecules are approximately 80 nucleotides in length. Their secondary structure includes four short double-helical elements and three loops (D, anti-codon, and T loops).
Source: RNAcentral